RNAcentral lists this ribosomal RNA (776 nucleotides) under uncultured Neocallimastigales. Its description in RNAcentral is "partial large subunit ribosomal RNA". It matches the Rfam family "Eukaryotic large subunit ribosomal RNA", at positions 23 to 628 of the family's 3401-position model. Lineage: Eukaryota; Fungi; Neocallimastigomycota; Neocallimastigomycetes; Neocallimastigales. The record is from RNAcentral.
GAGACUCUGUGCGCGUGCAUAUCAAUAAGCGGAGGAAAAGAAACUAACAAGGAUUCCCCUUAGUAACGGCGAGUGAAGCGGGAAGAGCUCAAACUUGAAAUCUUCAAGGUUUUACCUUGACGAAUUGUAGUUUAAAGAAGUGUUUUCUGUUGAAGUUUUGGUAAAAGUUCUUUGGAAUAGGACAUCAUAGAGGGUGAGAAUCCCGUAUUUGGUCAUUCUUUCUAGCUUUGUGAUACACUUUCAACGAGUCGGAUUGUUUGGGAAUGCAGUCCAAAAUGGGUGGUAAAUUUCAUCUAAAGCUAAAUAUUGGCGAGAGACCGAUAGCGAACAAGUACCGUGAGGGAAAGAUGAAAAGAACUUUGAAAAGAGAGUUAAACAGUACGUGAAAUUGUCAAAAGGGAAGCGUUUGACACCAGUGUUGUUUUCUCGAAAAUCAAUUAAAAAAGAUUGGAUUUUGUGUUGUAUUGACUUUAUCAGCUUUCUGCACUCUUUUCUUGUCUUUUUUAAUGCACUUUUCGUUUAACAAGUCAACAUCAAUUUCUUUUGUCGUAAAAGGUUGAGAGGAAGGUGGCUUUACUUUCGGGUAAAGUGUUUAUAGCCUUUUAACUCUGCAAUCGGAGAGAUUGAGGUCUGCAGCGUAGAUCCUUCGGGGUUAGAUACGUUUGUGCUAAGUUAUAGUUUUUUAUAGACAACUUGUUGACUAUGUUAAGUCUUGUAGCUUACUCGCUUACGCUAUUUUACCUACGCUUAGGAUGUUGACGAUCAGCUGAGCGCGG